This 73-nucleotide transfer RNA is filed under the name Mycoplasma sp. CAG:611. It matches the Rfam family "tRNA". Rfam says of the family: Transfer RNA (tRNA) molecules are approximately 80 nucleotides in length. The record is from Rfam by way of RNAcentral. Lineage: Bacteria; Bacillati; Mycoplasmatota; Mollicutes; Mycoplasmatales; Mycoplasmataceae.
GCCGACUUAGCUCAAUAGGUAGAGCAACUGACUUGUAAUCAGUAGGUUGAGGGUUCAAUUCCUUUAGUCGGCA